Molecule: ribosomal RNA, 443 nt
Filed under: uncultured Oscillospiraceae bacterium
Lineage: Bacteria; Bacillati; Bacillota; Clostridia; Eubacteriales; Oscillospiraceae
Description: partial 16S ribosomal RNA
Source: RNAcentral
GACUACCGGGGUAUCUAAUCCUGUUUGCUCCCCACGCUUUCGCGUCUCAGCGUCAGUUAUCGUCCAGAAAGUCGCCUUCGCCACCGGUGUUCCUCCUAAUAUCUACGCAUUUCACCGCUACACUAGGAAUUCCACUUUCCCUUCCGACACUCAAGAGACGCAGUUUCAGAUGCAGUUCCGCGGUUGAGCCGCGGGAUUUCACAUCUGACUUGCAUCCCCGCCUACACGCCCUUUACACCCAGUAAAUCCGGACAACGCUUGCCACCUACGUAUUACCGCGGCUGCUGGCACGUAGUUAGCCGUGGCUUGUUUUUCAGGUACCGUCAUUUCUUUCUUCCCUGAUCAAAGAAGUUUACAAUCCGAAGACCUUCAUCCUUCACGCGGCGUCGCUGGGUCAGGCUUUCGCCCAUUGCCCAAUAUUCCCCACUGCAGCCGCCCGUAGG